Long non-coding RNA from Oncorhynchus nerka (sockeye salmon), 663 nucleotides. RefSeq lists it as uncharacterized. The record is from RefSeq and is a predicted model, not a curated record. The transcript has 3 exons. NCBI's taxonomy places the organism in Eukaryota, Metazoa, Chordata, Actinopteri, Salmoniformes, Salmonidae.
CAACGGUUUUGGUCGUCUUCCUAGGAGUUUGCUCGUGGGGAAAUGGCGACAUGAGGCUGUGUGAUGAAGUGUCAAAAUAGAGAGAAGCUAGCUGAAGUUAUCCUUCACCAUUUGGAGAGAGAUGCCAACUGUUGAUAAUGUGAUAUGAUAAAGGACCGACUCAGAUUAAGUCUGAGGCCAGUAACAUCAACAGUGAGGACAAACUCAGCCUGCCUCCUUCCACACUGAGUAGAAACCUACAGUCACUGGGUCCUGAUUGUGACAGUGGAGCCCAGUUUGCUCUGCAGGAUUCAGAGAUGGCAUCAGUGAAGCUGGAAGACUGCAGUCAAACACUGGAGCUGAAUGUCAACAUUAAAGAUGAAGAAGAGGAGGAGAAGAUUAGGACAACUGUUAGUCACGGCCGGUGGUAGCUGGUCCCAUGCAGGAAGGUGAGGUUCCGGAGGUCCCUCCGCCCCCUCUGGACAUCGAGGGGUCCCCGGAGUACACGAUACGAGCUAUUCUGGACUCAAGACGCCGGGUGAGGGGCCUGCAGUACCUCGUUGACUGGGAGGGGUACGGUCCGGAGAGAGGUGCUGGGUCCCGGUGGGGGAUAUUCUGGAUCCAUCCAUGUUGAGAGAGUUCCAUCGCCUCCAUCCGGAUCGCCCUGCGCCUCGGCCCCAGAGU